Danio rerio (zebrafish) is the source of this 224-nucleotide non-coding RNA. The record is from RefSeq and is a predicted model, not a curated record. Lineage: Eukaryota; Metazoa; Chordata; Actinopteri; Cypriniformes; Danionidae.
UUAAUAUUCAUGCUCAUUAUGUAAAUCAGUGAUCUCCUCCCCCUGAUCUGAAGCCAUUUUCCAGCAGAACAGAAGAGGAGAGCAGCAGAAUCCGGUCGAGACGCUCUGCUGUCUUUAAGAUGUCGUUCGGGAAAAGUCACACGGGGAGGAAAGAUGAUGCGGUGAUGCAGUACCUGCUCAAACACUCACUGAGGGAGCAUCCAGCACUGCGCCAACUCAGAGAG